AACACAUGCAAGUCGAGGGGCAGCAUGGUCUUAGCUUGCUAAGGCCGAUGGCGACCGGCGCACGGGUGAGUAACACGUAUCCAACCUGCCGUCUACUCUUGGACAGCCUUCUGAAAGGAAGAUUAAUACAAGACGGCAUCAUGAGUUCGCAUGUUCACAUGAUUAAAGGUAUUCCGGUAGACGAUGGGGAUGCGUUCCAUUAGAUAGUAGGCGGGGUAACGGCCCACCUAGUCUUCGAUGGAUAGGGGUUCUGAGAGGAAGGUCCCCCACAUUGGAACUGAGACACGGUCCAAACUCCUACGGGAGGCAGCAGUGAGGAAUAUUGGUCAAUGGGCGCAGGCCUGAACCAGCCAAGUAGCGUGAAGGAUGACUGCCCUAUGGGUUGUAAACUUCUUUUAUAAAGGAAUAAAGUCGGGUAUGUAUACCCGUUUGCAUGUACUUUAUGAAUAAGGAUCGGCUAACUCCGUGCCAGCAGCCGCGGUAAUACGGAGGAUCCGAGCGUUAUCCGGAUUUAUUGGGUUUAAAGGGAGCGUAGAUGGAUGUUUAAGUCAGUUGUGAAAGUUUGCGGCUCAACCGUAAAAUUGCAGUUGAUACUGGAUAUCUUGAGUGCAGUUGAGGCAGGCGGAAUUCGUGGUGUAGCGGUGAAAUGCUUAGAUAU
Molecule: ribosomal RNA, 658 nt
Filed under: uncultured bacterium
Lineage: Bacteria
Description: bacterial SSU rRNA
Rfam family: Bacterial small subunit ribosomal RNA
Source: RNAcentral